AUGCCGGCGGCGCCGCCUCCAUUGCCGCUCCUGGGCCUCUUCUUGCUGCUGCUGUGCUCGUGCUCGCUGGCCAGCGGGAGGGCCGCCGUUUCUUCCCCGGCGCCGGCGUCGGUGGCCGCCGCCAAUGGGACCGCAUCCUCUUCUUCCUCUCCGGUGGUUCUGGCGUCUCCCCCCGUCGUGAUCACAGUGGAGAGGCACCACCACUACCACCGGGAGCUGGUCAUCGCCACCGUGCUCGCCUCCGUCGCCACCGUCAUGAUCUUCCUCACCACCUUCUACGCCUGGACCAUGUGGCGCCGGGCUCGCCGGAUCCCCGCCGGCAAGGCCGCCCGGAGACCAGACACCACCGCGAAAGGGAUCACGCUGGUGCCGAUCCUGAGCAAGUUCAACACGGUGAAGAUGAGCAAGAAGGGGCUGGUGGCCAUGAUCGAGUACCCGUCGCUGGAGGCGGCGACGGGCAAGUUCAGCGAGAGCAACGUGCUCGGCGUCGGCGGGUUCGGCUGCGUCUACAAGGCGGCGUUCGACGGCGGCGCCACCGCCGCCGUGAAGAGGCUCGAAGGCGGCGAGCCGGACUGCGAGAAGGAGUUCGAGAAUGAGCUGGACUUGCUUGGCAGGAUCAGGCACCCAAACAUAGUGUCCCUCCUGGGCUUCUGCGUCCAUGGUGGCAAUCACUACAUUGUUUAUGAGCUCAUGGAGAAGGGAUCAUUGGAGACACAACUGCAUGGGCCUUCACAUGGAUCGGCUAUGAGCUGGCACGUCCGGAUGAAGAUCGCGCUCGACACGGCGAGGGGAUUAGAGUAUCUUCAUGAGCACUGCAAUCCACCAGUGAUCCAUAGGGAUCUGAAAUCGUCUAAUAUACUCUUGGAUUCAGACUUCAAUGCUAAGAUUGCAGAUUUUGGCCUUGCAGUGACAAGUGGGAAUCUUGACAAAGGGAACCUGAAGAUCUCUGGGACCUUGGGAUAUGUAGCUCCUGAGUACUUAUUAGAUGGGAAGUUGACUGAGAAGAGCGACGUCUACGCGUUUGGCGUAGUGCUUCUAGAGCUCCUGAUGGGAAGGAAGCCUGUUGAGAAGAUGUCACCAUCUCAGUGCCAAUCAAUUGUGUCAUGGGCCAUGCCUCAGCUAACCGACAGAUCGAAGCUACCCAACAUCAUCGACCCAGUGAUCAAGGACACAAUGGACCCAAAGCACUUAUACCAAGUUGCGGCGGUGGCCGUUCUGUGCGUGCAGCCCGAACCGAGUUACAGACCGCUGAUAACAGAUGUUCUCCACUCUCUUGUUCCUCUGGUGCCCGCGGAUCUUGGGGGAACGCUCAGAGUUACAGAGCCACAUUCUCCACACCAAAUGUACCAUCCCUCUUGA
RNAcentral lists this ribosomal RNA (1359 nucleotides) under Triticum aestivum (bread wheat). Its description in RNAcentral is "partial small subunit ribosomal RNA". The record is from RNAcentral. Lineage: Eukaryota; Viridiplantae; Streptophyta; Magnoliopsida; Poales; Poaceae.